CGAACGCUGGCGGCAUGCCUAAUACAUGCAAGUCGAACGCUUUUGUUUCACCGGGUGCUUGCGCCCACCGAGACAAAAGAGUGGCGGACGGGUGAGUAACACGUGGGUAACCUGCCCAUAAGAGGGGGAUAACAUCCGGAAACGGAUGCUAAUACCGCAUAUUUCCAAUUGUCUCCUGACAGAUGGAAAAAAAGUGGCUUCGGCUACCGCUUAUGGAUGGACCCGCGGCGUAUUAGCUAGUUGGUGAGGUAAUGGCUCACCAAGGCGAUGAUACGUAGCCGACCUGAGAGGGUGAUCGGCCACACUGGGACUGAGACACGGCCCAGACUCCUACGGGAGGCAGCAGUAGGGAAUCUUCCGCAAUGGACGAAAGUCUGACGGAGCAAUGCCGCGUGAGUGAAGAAGGUUUUCGGAUCGUAAAACUCUGUUGUUAGAGAAGAACAAGGAUGAGAGUAACUGCUCAUCCCCUGACGGUAUCUAACCAGAAAGCCACGGCUAACU
RNAcentral lists this ribosomal RNA (501 nucleotides) under uncultured bacterium. RNAcentral describes it as "bacterial SSU rRNA". It matches the Rfam family "Bacterial small subunit ribosomal RNA", at positions 30 to 502 of the family's 1533-position model. The record is from RNAcentral.